RNA transcript from Alligator sinensis (Chinese alligator), 7845 nucleotides. It is a transcript of the gene named beta-1,3-galactosyltransferase 5, with no coding region annotated. The transcript has 6 exons. The record is from RefSeq and is a predicted model, not a curated record. Lineage: Eukaryota; Metazoa; Chordata; Crocodylia; Alligatoridae.
GGAAGCUUAUCAUUCAUUUUGUUUGAGUUCAUUUGUCCACGACGAGAUCACUCACCAUUGAAGAGCUAAGACUUUGCCUGCUUCCCACUUGCUGCAGCUUCUGUACAGGACGGCUAUGAAAGCAUCAGGGUGCGUUGCAGAAAUGUAAGGUUUUGUCUUCUCCCUGGUAAACAGGAAGAACUGAUCCUAUAGUUAAAGCUCUGGACUGAGACUCUGCACAUUUAGGUUCUCUCUUGCCCCAGGGGAUGUUGUCCUAGGGGAUGUUGGAAUCAAGAUCCACAAAUUGAGCCAGGUUUGAAAUGUUCAGCUUCAGUUAAAAUGCAGAACUUUUGGAUGAAAUUACCAUAUUUGCCUGAAUCCAAGAUGACUGAUCUCAUUCUCAAAUCCACUACCUACAGUGACCAGAAAUGGAGAAAAAUAUGGGACCCAUUUUUGGAAUAAUAAAAAAAGACUGCUGGACAAGAAUGGAGAGAAGAUAAGGAGAGAACAGUCUAGUCUGGCCAUACUUGAGGGCUCAGGACAUGGUCAUCUUUCAAAUGAAUGGAGAAAUCAGGUAUGGCUUUCAAGAUAUCCAGAAUGUUUAUUUUCCUUAUAGCAGUUGCAUCUUUUUUGUGUGUCUGUUUUUACACCACCCUCAACUGGAGUGAUAUCUGUAUAUUCUGCCCGAAGGGGGAAGUGGUUACAUCAUUGACUUAUUUUAAAAAAGAGACUGAAAAGUUCCUGCAGUUGCCAGAUACGGACUGCAGUAAGAAUCCUCCAUUCCUAGUACUGCUUGUGACAUCAUCAUGUGACCAGAAAGAAGCUAGGAUGGCUAUUCGUCAAACGUGGGGGAAGGAGAAACUAGUUGCUAGGAAACGAAUUCUAACAUUUUUCCUCCUUGGAACCACUGAGAAUCAAUACGAGCAAACUGAUGUUCUCGCUGAAAGCCAGGCAUACAAAGAUAUUAUCCAGAAGGGUUUUAUAGAUACAUAUUAUAAUUUGACUUUGAAAACAAUGAUGGGAAUGGAAUGGGUUCACAAAUUCUGUCAACAGUCCAGUUUUGUUAUGAAAACUGAUUCAGACGUAUUUGUCAAUGUCUUUUACUUGACUGAACUUCUUUUAAGAAAGAACAGAAGCUCUAACUUUUUUACAGGGUUUUUAAAAAUGAAUGAGCGCCCAAUACGACAGGUGUUUAGUAAGUGGUAUGUGAGUAAAUAUGAAUAUCCUGGAAGCACUUAUCCUCCAUUUUGUUCAGGAACUGGUUAUGUUUUUUCUACUGAUGUUGCUAGUCAGGUUCUUAAUAUUUCAGAAAGCGUUCCCUUUAUUAAACUAGAGGAUGUUUACAUAGGACUGUGCCUAGCCAAACUACAAAUCAAAUUGGAGGAACUUAAUUCAAAACAGACAUUCUUUCCAAUCAAGCUUCAGUUCUCACUUUGUCGCUUUGUGACUUGCCACUACAUUACACCUCGUGAACAGCAGGACUAUUGGUCUCAGUUAGAGAAAUCAGUAGAUAAUAUGCCCAGCUGCUUGACAUAGCUGAAACAAGAAACUAACACACAAAAAUCCAGAGGGCCAGUCUUUACCCAGGCAAAACUCUCCCUGAAAUCAGGACAUGGACCCAUUCACUGAAGAAGACAUUAAAUAUUUCUGUUAGCAUUUUUGUUAUCUCCAUACCUGUCUAGGAAUGUGAAAAUCUCCAUCUCACACUUGGUAAUUUUGCUUUUCUUUAUUUGCAAGCACUUUGUUUUCUUUCAGGUUUUAAGUCAAUGUGACUGCUCUGCUCUGUCUGUCUGCACACUGGCAUCACCAGCAACAGGUCCAAGAAUGACUAGUGAUAUUGUAUAUAGACGAAUAAGCAGAUAUUUGAUAGAUAAUUUGUGUGUGUUUGAGGGUGGGUGGUGGGGGUUAAAAAUGUUUACAGGCCAAAAGGAUAUUCCCACAUUUCCUGACAGGCCACAUUCCUGCAAUAGACUUGUAUAGAACACUACUGAAAUCCACAAGGCUUUGCUCAGAUUCAAGGAUAUGCCUAUGCAAAGCUCAUUGCAAGACCUUAGCCUUUGGUACAGUGGGUUAUCUCAAGAGCCUUUAAGGACACCAGAUUUGCUUUCUAGGUACACUUCAUACUGAAUAUCAAGCACAUAGAGCCUUUUCCAAAGUCCGGUGGAGACAGUCCCACUUACUUCUAUUGACUUGGAUUCAUUCUAGAAAGGAUUUUAUGAAUCCAUGGAUCACUGUCACAGCUAUCGCUUUCUGAGCAUUGUACCAUAUUUUCUCAUGUAUAACCUAUUCUUGAAUAUAAUGUACACCCUGUUUUUUAAAAGGUAAUAUGUAGAAAAAAGGGUCUAGGGACCUGAGCCUGCUGCCAGCCCUGGGUGCUGGUUGGGACCCAUGGGGACCAAUCCAGUAUGGUGGGUUUGGGGCUAUGUACCAGGUCUGACCCCACGUGGUAGGUGUGGGACUGUGUGACAGGCCUGAUCUGACACAAUGGGUCUGAAUCCAUGUGGCAGGUCUGGGACUGCACAGCCUGAGGGCAUAGCCAGUUUGGGACUGCAUAGACGUGCGCCAUGUCCAACCCCACACGCUGUCUCUGGGGCUGAAUGCCGACUAUGCCCUGGCUCUGGAGCCACAUGCUAGGUCCAACCUAGAACAUGGUCCAAGAGCCAGUGCAUGGUCCCAGACUCAGCAUGCCAACUCCAACCCAGCACAUGGCUUCGUAAACAGCGUGCUAGGCACCAUCUAGCAUACCAGGCCCAGAGCUGUAUGCUAGGUUGUACUUAAUGCACUGGCUUUGGCCAUGGACCAGCCCUGUGCACAGGCUGAAUCUGGUAUGUGGAUGGGGAGAGUGGCUCCCCAUGGCUCUGGAAAUCUGGUGAUGUGGGGUGGGGAGCAGUGGCAUGUUAAUUAUCUUGGUACCCAGAGCUACAGCAAUUAAUGUUCCCACUACUCCUUUCCCACUCCCCAGCCACAUUUCUGGAUCCCUAAGGCUCUCUUUUUCUUGCACAUAAUGUGCACCCCAAUUUUCCCCAGUUUGUUUUUUUGGGGGGUGGGGGGAAAGGUAUAGGUUAUAUGUGAGAAAAUAUGAUAAUUUUGUAACAUGGUUUGUUGGAACUGAAUUAUGAUCACUUUAAAUCAAUGAGACAAUGUAUUAUAAACAUCUUCCUUCCUGUCAUGAAUUCAGGGAGGAGCAAAAAAAUUCUGCUGUAAUCAAACAUGUCCGCUUAAUGUUAUAGACCAAGAGCCUGAUUCUCUGUUUUUUUUAGUAUCCAGUGUUUCUAGAGAUCCAUGGGAGCUUUUGAUGUACAAGGAACAUAGGACUGAGCCCUUAAAGUAAAUGCAACUGAUAAAUAAAGUGAAAAUGUAGAGGGUAAAUUCUGUAGUCACAACAUCUGCAAAAUUCCCACUGAUUUAUGGGGAAUUAUGUUCCAUCAUGGCUAACAUAUAACAGAUAGACUCCAACCUAUCAGUUUUAUUUACAAAUAUAUACCACAACCCAAGGCUAUAUUUAAUUGAUGUUUUACUAGAAGUACUUUGAAAUCUCAUAAAUACAAUAUUCUGAUACAGUUAUAUGAACUAGUAUGAUGCAUUUUGCUGUAAGUGACUAAUUAUUGUAGCUUGGGACCCCAAUUCAUCUAGAUGCUUAAAUAUGUGCCUAACUUCAAACAUGAUAGUUUUACUGAAAUCAGUGGAAUUACUCCUGCUCAAAGUUAGGUGUAUGCUCCAGGGUUUAGAUUUGGGGACUGGAAAAAUAGUUAUUGACUACAUUUACUGUAUAUUUUCUGUAAGGGAAAGUUACAAGUCUAAAAUGAACAUGAAAUUUCCAAUAUUUCAACAAUUCCAACAUCAGUUUCAUGGCAUUGAGCUUAAGGUAGAAGAAUAAGUAUACCUUAUCACAUAGUUCUCUCUGAAGGUGAGCAUAAGUAUCUCUAGAUCUGGGAAGUGAUAAUGAUAACUGUAAUAACAGGAACAAGAACAAUGAUUUGUUCAUUUCUGGUGCAGUGCAACAUGGAGUGUACUUAAUUUGCAUAUCACAGGAUGAGCAAAUCUUUUCUGUUUGUUCAGCAUCAGGGAACACACCCCAGCUAUAUCUGAAGUUAUUUUGCUGGUCGUCUCAGUGGGGGAGGUGGAUCAGGAUCCUUAAGCCAAGCUUCAAUUUUUUCACCACUUUUCUUAACUGUCCUUCUCAAUGUAAAGAAUUUCUAGGGCUGUCGUAGGACAUGAAUACACAAGCUGUGCAUGAUGCCAAUGUAAAGAUUAAAGACACAGGGCAGGUUCUGUGCUGUGCUUCUGCAGAGGCCAGAAGAAAGAAGGAGAUAGGUGGCUCAAAAUGGCUAAAACUGGCAUUUGCAUAAGUAACAGCAUUCCUGGAGGAUGUCCCCCUUUGGGACAACAUAUUGAUAUGCUGAUAUUGCACCAUGACAUUGAUAUAUGUCUAUGCUGAUGCUGCACUAUGGAAUUCCUGUAGCGCUGAGUUUUAAGGGAAUGUCCCUGGUCUGUCCAUAGCCUUGCCCCUGUGCUGGAGACUGUGAAAUGAAGUAUGGUAAGACUAUUUACUCUGCUGCUCUUGCACUAAGGAAAAUUCUUCAUCAGUCCCUUGUAGCUAGGGCCAUCCCUAAAGGGGGUGAAUCAGGGUGACUGCCCCGGGCUCCACGCUUUUGUGGGCCUUGUGGUCAGUGCUGUAUAGGCCCCGUCACAGCUGCCAUGUGCCACCACUGCCAAGAACCACUGGCUCUGCCACUGCUGCCAAGGGCUGCCAGCUCUGGCUGCUUGCCACCCCGCCCCCCCAGGCCCUGCACAGGCUGAUAUGCCCCAGACCAGCACACCCCUAGGGACGGCUCUGAUUGUAGCUCUCAGCCCACAUUCACUGUUGGAUAUCACAUAGCCACUAUCUCUGUGCCUAAUACUAUUAUUAUCCUGUCCACUAGGAGCAGCUUUGUCCUUUAUAGUUAGCAAAAAGUAUUCAAUAUCAGAAGAAUGAUUUUUCUGUUCUAGACAUUAAAAUCUAGUAGCAGUGUUGUUGCUGUAGCUGUGAUGGUCCAGGGAAUAUGUAAGAUGCCAGAUUUCUAGGGUGAGAUAAUAUCUUUUAUUGGACCAGCUGUGUGGCUAGGACAGAAGUUACACAAACCUUUUCCUCAGAUCUGGGAAAGAAGCAAAUACAACCCAAGCUAAAUACCAGGUAGAAAAACUGCUCUCAUUUAACUUAGUUACGUUAAUGAAUAUGAUCCUUUAAAACGGUGGUCUCCAACCUUUUUAUGGUAAAGAUCACUUUUUGGCACCCCAGGAUCUAUCUGGGCCUGGCUCACCUCUACUCCCUCCCGAUCCGUGCCAAGCCCUAGCCCUAGCCCCAGCCCCAGCCCCAGCCCCAUUCCCUCUCCCCCGCCCACUGCCUCUCUCCCUGCAGACUUUCUACCGGGGGGGGUGCACAUGCUCAGCCCCCCCCCAAUUUUCUUCUCCCUCUGCCUAUGGUUAUAUGUGAGAAAAUGUAGUGGUCAGUUCUGUUAGAUGGUGUGGCUGUUUAGCCUUAGGUAGGCUGAAUUUGUGCACAAAGACUCAGGCCUUUCCCUUACCAGCAUAUUUCUGUGCUGCUUCCCUGAAGUGAAUGUGACUUAUGAGGUACUGAAAUCCCUCUAUCAAUUACAAUUCGUACAUAAUUUUGUAAAGACUUUGUGAUCCUUUCUUACUAUGAAGAGAAGAGUCACCUUUUGAGGUCCAGAUUCUGGUACCCUUCCUCAAAAUGGAUGGGUGGUAUUUUGGACCAAGAGUGGCUCUGUUAUGUUCCACAGAAUCACUAGUGAAGUACAGCUUAAUGUGAAUCAAGAUUGCAGAAUCUGCCCUACUGUUUGUAAAAAAGGGAUUCAUGUUAAGUUUAUGGUCACCAUGUUACUGGCAAUGAAUUCUCUGGAGAUUGUUUAAAGGACUAUCCCACGAUAAGCAGAGAGAGGGAGUUUGCUUUGUUAGUUUGAAGUCAGGAAGAAGGCAGGGUGUGCAUGAAUUCACUUAAUCAGAUGAUGAUACAGUGAUAAAGUGCUGAUAAUGUGAACUCAGGCUCACAGAAGCUUAUGCAUGUCUGAUUUAGUUAGUCCAUAAGGUGCAUCUCAACCCUGCCUUCUGACUUCCCAACAUGAACACCGCUUCCUCCCCAUGUAUUUGUGUGGUUCUAGCAGCUUAUGGAAAUAUGGAUUCCCAUCAUUACUUCCAUUUAAAAUAAUAUUGUCACUAUGUUAUGUUCAGAAUAUAACAUGUGUUUGUCUAGGACUCUAUAUUAUUAAUAUUAUUGUGGCUAGUUGGCUAAAUUGUUUGAGAUAUUCAUUACUGAAGGCUAGCAAAUGGUCUCAAUUUAAAUAGUUCAGCUGCCCUUUUUGCAUUAUCUGAAGGAAUGGUUUUGACUGAUAUAUCCUACUUUCAUCACAAUUAUUUAAGUUAUAUUUUGAUUUCUUUUUUUAGUUCUAUACACUUGAUAAAUCUGCUCUGAACAGUAAUAAGUGAAAGAUAUUAUUAGAGACUAAAACAUUAAGUUACAUUAUUACAAAAACCAUAAGAAAAUAAUUGAUCACAGGUAUAGCAAAUUCAUUAGUUUAAAAACUAACACUUGCCAAUUUUGGUAUUAGCCAAAUGAAAAGAACUGUUGCAGUUUAAGUCACUGAUAAUGGUUUUAGCAACAUUACACUGAACAGCUAAUGAACUUUGCCAAAUUAUUUAUAUUUUGCUAAUAGUGGUCAGUAUGGAAAAUCUGGAAACAUUUAUUAGUAGGCUUGGCAGAAUUCAAUUUUUAUUUUUUAAAUAAUUUUGGUGGCUAAAAGCAGUGUUCAAUUCUAAGCCUUUAUUUCAAUUGUUAUCUAUUUACAUUUUCAGGAUGGUAUGAAAUUAGGGAUGUGGGGUGCAGGCAAUGUAGUAAUGACAGGAUACUGUUAAAAGCUUUAUAAAAUCACACAUCAACAUAUAAAAAGUAAAUAUCCAUAUAUCAAUAAAUCAUAUCUUUUUUAAAUCAUUCUUUUCAUUCAUCAAGAAAGAGCUGGGUGAUCAGGGACCAAAGGAGGAGGGCAGCAGCACUCUUAGAGCUCUGGGAACAUGGCCCUCAGGGCCCACUGCCCUGGACAUUUAUCUAUGUUUAUCAAUAACAAUCAAAUCCUGCCAAGGCUAUUUAUUGGUUUUGUAAACACAAAUUAUGCAGUGCUAGAUGUAUGAUUUUUUUAAAAAAAUAUCUGAUGACAUGCUUUAGAAUGAAUUAUUUAAAGAGCUUAUUUGCAGAGGAAGUGCUAUAUUGUAACAUUUUUAUACUCAAUGGUUCAGAAAACAAUCAGAUCAGGACAUUUUGAAUCACUCUAGAAAUUUGAAAGGUACUCUGCUGUCUUUCAGUUUAGCCAUUGGGCCCCUAAAAACAAACAACAAAGCUGACAAUGGAUUACAGUUAAUUAAAAUAUAUUUCAGCAUCCUAAAGUUUCCAUUCCCCUCAACACAAGCUCUUUUUAAGAAAAUAAAGUGAUGUUAAUAAAUAAUGUAAAUCCUAAACUCUUUGAACAACUUUUUAUUUAUUUUUUUAAAUUUUGGCUGGGAUUUUCAAAGGUGCCGCAGGGUCCACAUCUCAAGAAUGUGAAUAGGGUUUGUGAAGAUAAAUCUCUUAGGCUCCUCAGAAAGUCCUAGUCUAUAUUUUUGUAAUCAUUCAUUGGCCAUAUGUAAAAACUCAAUGUAGCAAAAGGGCUAAUUAUGUAUAGCAUAUCUGAUGCCACAAAGUAUGAUUGUACUUGCACAGGUAACUUUUUAGUUCUAAUAUAAAUAUGCAUGACACUGUUUACAUUAUUUGCCUAGGACAUCUAAAUGUUAAGCUAACAAAAACUGAAUGUCUGAUGAUAUUUUAGUAAAAUAUUUUAU